This 460-nucleotide ribosomal RNA is filed under the name uncultured bacterium. RNAcentral's name for it is "partial 16S ribosomal RNA". It matches the Rfam family "Bacterial small subunit ribosomal RNA", at positions 338 to 795 of the family's 1533-position model. The record is from RNAcentral.
CCUACGGGGGGCAGCAGUGAGGAAUAUUGGUCAAUGGACGAGAGUCUGAACCAGCCAAGUAGCGUGAAGGAUGACUGCCCUAUGGGUUGUAAACUUCUUUUAUAUGGGAAUAAAACGUUCCACGUGUGGGAUUUUGUAUGUACCAUAUGAAUAAGGAUCGGCUAACUCCGUGCCAGCAGCCGCGGUAAUACGGAGGAUCCGAGCGUUAUCCGGAUUUAUUGGGUUUAAAGGGAGCGUAGGUGGAUUGUUAAGUCAGUUGUGAAAGUUUGCGGCUCAACCGUAAAAUUGCAGUUGAAACUGGCAGUCUUGAGUACAGUAGAGGUGGGCGGAAUUCGUGGUGUAGCGGUGAAAUGCGUAGAUAUCACGAAGAACUCCGAUUGCGAAGGCAGUUCACUGGACUGCAACUGACACUGAGGCUCGAAAGUGUGGGUAUCAAACAGGAUUAGAUACCCGAGUAGUC